GAUGAAGAACGCAGCGAAAUGCGAUAAGUAAUGUGAAUUGCAGAAUUCAGUGAAUCAUCGAAUCUUUGAACGCACCUUGCACUCCUUGGUAUUCCGAGGAGUACGCCUGUUCGAGUGUUAUGAAGCUCUCAAAACGCAAUUGGCUUAAAACCUGAUUGUUGUUUUGGAUUUGAACUUUGCCGUGUUAUAACGGCUGGUUUUAAAAGUAUUAGCUGGUACUAGAACGAAUUGGUUCUACUCAACGUGAUAAUUAUCUGAUCGUUGAGGACAUUCCUUUCACGAGGAAUGGCCAUAGUAAAUUCAAUGGACUGCUUCUAAUCUGGCUUUAAUUCUUUAUUGGAUUAACCACUUUUCAAAUCUGACCUCGAAUCAGGUGGGACUACCCGCUGAACUUAAGCAUAUCAAUAAGCGGAAGA
Molecule: unclassified non-coding RNA, 416 nt
Filed under: soil metagenome
Description: partial contains 5.8S ribosomal RNA, internal transcribed spacer 2, and large subunit ribosomal RNA
Rfam family: 5.8S ribosomal RNA (bases 1-120)
Source: RNAcentral